Molecule: ribosomal RNA, 425 nt
Filed under: uncultured Leptothrix sp.
Lineage: Bacteria; Pseudomonadati; Pseudomonadota; Betaproteobacteria; Burkholderiales; Sphaerotilaceae
Description: bacterial SSU rRNA
Rfam family: Bacterial small subunit ribosomal RNA
Source: RNAcentral
GUGGGGAAUUUUGGACAAUGGGCGCAAGCCUGAUCCAGCCAUGCCGCGUGCGGGAAGAAGGCCUUCGGGUUGUAAACCGCUUUUGUCAGGGAAGAAACGCACUGGGUUAAUACCUUGGUGUAAUGACGGUACCUGAAGAAUAAGCACCGGCUAACUACGUGCCAGCAGCCGCGGUAAUACGUAGGGUGCAAGCGUUAAUCGGAAUUACUGGGCGUAAAGCGUGCGCAGGCGGUUGUGCAAGACAGAUGUGAAAUCCCCGGGCUCAACCUGGGAACUGCAUUUGUGACUGCACGGCUUGAGUGCGGCAGAGGGGGAUGGAAUUCCGCGUGUAGCAGUGAAAUGCGUAGAGAUGCGGAGGAACACCGAUGGCGAAGGCAAUCCCCUGGGCCUGCACUGACGCUCAUGCACGAAAGCGUGGGGAGCAA